ACUUGCUUUAGCAAAAAGAGAAUAUUUUGACUCAUGGAACUGGGAAGAAUAGGAAUAUGCCCACUCUUGGGUCAAACUGAAUUCCUAAACUAACAGAAUUCUUGUCGUUUCCCCAUCCCUCCUGUCAGCCUCCUUUUAUUUAUUCCAGGCUCUUUCUUUCCUAAUACAAAGGGAUGCUCUCCAUUGGGCAGAGAGUAAGGCUGUUCGCAGCUUGCAUCAUUAAAGUUUGUGAAUCAUGGGGAAAGAUCAUUUCUCUUUUCCAGUAACUUGCUAUGAAUUUCUGGGAAGGACUCUCCUCAGGACCAGCUCUGGCUACCGUGAUGGCUGGGGCCAAGGCUCAUGUCCGCCCCUGUGACCGUAGGCAGUUCACACUGACCAAAAGCCCCAACAGAACGCUGUGGAGUUGGGGCAGGAGAGGACAGUCCCUAAAGGAUUCAGCAGGGAGAAGAUGGGGAGGGGUCGAGGAGACAUUUCAUUGCCCCCACGUCCCCUUUAGCAUCUCUGAUUUCUUUUUCCUAAGUACUGCAUUUAUUCUCAUCUUCUUUCCCCUGCCUCUCACUUAGUCAUUCUCUAACAUUCUGUUCUUGUAAAAUCUACAGUAUUUUCCACAAAUAGUUCAUCUUAACAAGUUGCGCCUCGUGUAUCUUUGCAGAAGCAUUGUAAGUUUAUAUCUUUACACAUCAGUACCAUCACUUUCUACUUAUUGAGCGAGAGCAUAGAUGUCAGCUGUGCAUUUACCUAUCCUCAGGAAGCUAUAUACUCUAAAAGAAAUACAGACAUACAGUAUGUUUGGUAAGGUUAAUUUUUCUCUGAUUUCUUAAAUCCUAACAAAAUUGUUAUGAACCAUGUUUUACCUUUUUCCAGCACCCCUGCGACUUAAGUAUGAAAUGGACAUUUUUACUAACAGUUAGCUAAGAACUGUAAUUAAUAGAACUGUUUUUCACAUAUCAGAAACACCAAAUGCAUAUACCUACCCAGAAACAUCUAGGGCAGCUCACCUUUGACAGAGAAACCUUUGCAGUGUAUUCUACAUUAUGAUGCUGUUCUGUCUCUUCAUUCCAGCAUUCUACUGAAUCCAGCAACUUGAGUCCUCACUACGUUUGUCAUGUCUUCAGUUCCUUCCUUCAUACAGUGAAAGAGACAGAAAAAUCCCUCUGCUACACUGCAGUCAAACAUAACUCUUGGAAGCCAGCCUACUGGUGCUCUGCGACAGUUUGCUGGGUCUGUGUCAGCCUGAUGGGAGUAAACGAAGUUGUCAUAGAGUCUGAUAGGAAGGGCUGCCAUGUGAGGCUCCCCUGAUGACCGCAUUCACUGGCUGUUGAUCACUCUGCACCUCUCUUCUCAUCUCCCUGGACUUUAUUCUUUGUGAUCCAUUCCAUCAGUUUUAUAUCUUCAAUCCCUUCACUGGAACUGCAUUUGGAGAAGCUGUACAAAUUCUGAUACUCUGGCAGGUGCUUUUGCUGUGAGCUAUAAACUAUCUUUAGUUUGUGAUCCAGGAGUCUCCUGUCUUCUGCCAGCAUGCACCUAACUGUGCAGAUGGUCCAUAGCAGCGCGAUCCUGAGGCUCUGCAGCUCGCACUUCUCCCAGUUCUUGGUUGAGUUCCGAUAAUAUAGAAGCAGUCAAAUUUGUUGUUUUGCUAUAUGCACAGGCCAGCUUAGAGAUCUCUUUCUGCAUUCCUACGACAAGUCCAGGAACCGGCAGGAGGAACGCAGCUGCAACUGCAACAGCAACAGGAUCUCCAAGUUUCAAGUUUUCAUCACAAUCUGACGGCAGAGCUCAGAGACGUCUCUUAUAUCCAGAUGGUCUAUUAGAUCAGGAAGAAUGCGUUCCACCCCACAAACACCUCGAUAGUGUGAAGAAAGGGCUUGAUAUGUUUUGCCAUUUCACAAAAAUACCCAACCAUUUGGAAGUCUAUAUCCAGAAGACCAUUUUACAUUGAUUGCAGAAUUACAGUAAGAGGGUACAUGAGUACAAUCAAUACACACACAGUCAGUGAUUAUAGCAGUGCUAACAGGUAAAUUUAAUUGGGCAUCAGGAGUAAGCGUCUUAGGGGGAAGAGUGGUAUUUCUGUAACAUAAAACAUUCAGUAAUAAAGUUUGGCAUUAUUCCCUUUGACAGUGCUCUCCAGGUAAAUAUAUAUCGGGUAAAUAAGCCAAAUUGGUCAAAUAUUUUCCUUGAUGAGGAGAAGAAAUUCCUCUGACAUGUUCCAGGGGCCCUCUGGAAAAUAUCAGAGUUAAUCAGAGGUAAAAACACUUUUCUAAAUUUGGUCUUGGGAAGCUGUCAAAAGUUUUUAAGGCACUUGCCUAAAUAGAAUUAUAGUUAUUAAAUAACACUUAUUAUUUAACCAGAAUAAUAAGAAAGUUUAAAAGCAAAUGCAGGUUACAUAGUUAACAACACUUAGCUUAGUCUUUUUAAUGUUAAGA
This is a long non-coding RNA of Manis pentadactyla (Chinese pangolin), 2423 nucleotides long. RefSeq lists it as uncharacterized. The transcript is spliced from 4 exons. NCBI's taxonomy places the organism in Eukaryota, Metazoa, Chordata, Mammalia, Pholidota, Manidae. The record is from RefSeq and is a predicted model, not a curated record.